This 1202-nucleotide long non-coding RNA is filed under the name Equus asinus (donkey). RNAcentral's name for it is "lncRNA (ENSEASG00005035956.1, ENSEASG00020018981.1)". Lineage: Eukaryota; Metazoa; Chordata; Mammalia; Perissodactyla; Equidae. The record is from RNAcentral.
UAAGAACAGAAAAGAAAAUUUCAACAACUGCAAAAGAGUUUCCCCAUCACCAAGAUUACAUAUUUUUUGUGAACACCAUAAAUGCCCAGACCUAAAGUAUAAUGUCCCCCAAAAGCUGCUGAUUCUGAAUGAUACAUACAUUUCAUUUUGCAUCCAGUCACUAAAAUUAAUUUAUUCAACUAACAUUUCAUAAAGGCCUACUCUGUUUUAGACACUGGAGAUAAGGUAGUAUAUAAGACAAACAUGACCUGCCCCUGUCUUCACCAAACUUACAGACCAGUCAGGGAGACAGUCAAUCAAGGAGUGAAAAUUAUGAUCCAGUUGGAUAAAGUGUAUUUUAUUUAACAUCUCCAUUUCCAGCCUUGCUAAGUCAGUGUUGAUAGUCAGAUAGUCAGAUUGAAAACCAUGGCCCUCAUCAGACAAUGAACAUCCCUAUGAUUUCACUAGUAAAAUCUGGCCACUUGAAUUUCAUUUAUGACUUUCAAAUAGCUCUAGCAAAGGCAUAGGAAGGCAGACAGCUAAUAUAAUAACUUAACUUAUAGAAAUGUGCUCAUAGGUUCUCUUCCCUGGUUAACCCUGCAUUUUAGCACUAGCCUUCUAAAAAGGUAAUGCCUUAAUAUAUCCUAUAAAAUUAAGGCUACUAAAUUUCAGGAACUCUGGCAAGUCUAAGAAAGAAAUUUGCAGUUAUAGAAGUCUUUGUGGCCACUUCUCACGUUAUACCACAUACACGUGGAGAUAUUGCCCAGUGAGUCCUCCAUGUUGCAGAUCUCCUACAGCCCUUUCCCUUCUCCUCCUCUUGUUAUCCAAAAGGUUUCACGGGGUAGUCAGUCACUUGCACUGUGAUAGAAUAAAAAGAAAAUUCAAAAUAUCUAUAAAUUUGGUUUCCUCCAGCAAUGGUUAAGCUUGGUUGAGAUGCUUACAAAUUUAAAAAAUGCCAGUUCCAUUGUUGCUUCAUUUUAAGGGCCCUGAGAAUAAGACCAAGCAAGCAUCGGAUAAGGAAUAUGAUUUCAGGAUCUCCAGAAGUUUCUCUUCCCUUUGUCACUCAACCAACCUCCCAAGUUCCCUCAGUAUCACAGUGCCUGAAAUUCCAUUUGGUGGUGUUUCAGAAGCUUUUUGGUAGCUCUGGUGACAACCUAUGUGAUUUGAUUGAAGGGUGGCUCAGAAAGUUCCACUUUCCUGAAACAUCUCCCUCUGGUUAAUCU